GGGCGCGGGUGGGCGUGAAUGGGAAAUGAGCAGAAGGCAAUGGCGGGGAGUGUGUGUGUGUGUGUGUGUGUGUGUGUGUGUUGUGCGUGUGUGGUGAGUGUCAAUACGUGUGUAUGUGUACGUGCUUGUGGCGUGUGGAUGCGCGUGCGUGUGUGCGCGCAAGUGCAUGUGCACGUGUGUGGUGUCUGUGCGCGUGUGUGCACGUGUGUGGUGUGUGUGUGUGGUGUCUGUGCGUGUGUGCACGUGUGUGGUGUGCGCGCUUGCGCACGCGUCUCUGUGUGCACGUGUGUGUGCACGUGUGUGUGCACAUGUGUGUGAGUGUGUCUGUGUGCGUGUACGAUGUAUGGAGGUCACAGGACUUGGGAGGGUCCUGGCCUCAGGUUUGGCUGAAGGCAGCGUUGCACAUGAGCCACCAGCCAACUGCUUCCUCUCUUUCUGAGGCAGGACAGGAGGACAGCAAUCAAGAGGACAUGAGAAACGGAGAGGACCCCUCACAGCCCCCUGUUGGGUUAUGUCUCUUGCUGGAGGGGGCUCGCACUCUAGCAGUACAGAUCUGUUCCUGGUGGGGGAGUCGCACCUCGUUGGAGUCCCACACUCACUCUUCAGAUGGCAUCUGCUCUUCUUCAAAGAAUCCCUGCAUACUAGUGGCUUUUUGGGAAGUUUUCUAUCCGUGCAACCUGGGAAUAGAACUGAGUAUACAGCAAAAGUGUGUGAUUCAGCUCUGCCCAGCACCCACUUUUUUGACCAUAAUAUGAAACAGUCCAAUCUUCACAACAGCCAGUAAUUUGGUUCCCUAAAUCAAGAAAAAGGAUUAUCUAGGCUGCCAAAGUAAACUGUGAGGACUCUUGCUGGGGAGCUCUCGGUAUGGACAGAGACACAAUGACCCCCUGCCUGUCAAACAAAGUCAUUUAGAAGGCAGCAGAAAGGAGGUGUGGAGGUACUCUAUGACGCCAGGCUGAGUUGCAGGCAGCUGGGAGCUGCCUCUUCAUGGGAGCUGAGAACUGACCUCAAGCCUUCUGAAACUGGCUUCCUGUUCAUCCCCUGCCCACAGAGAAGACCACUCUGUCCCACUGAGCUAAGAUCCACA
This 1087-nucleotide long non-coding RNA is filed under the name Cricetulus griseus (Chinese hamster). RNAcentral describes it as "lncRNA (ENSCGRG00015030464.1)". Lineage: Eukaryota; Metazoa; Chordata; Mammalia; Rodentia; Cricetidae. The record is from RNAcentral.